CGACCCUCUCUGCUCUUCCCCAGCCUGCGCUGCUCCAGCUCCACGUGCGCCCGGGGAUGCAAUGCAGCCCUGCAGACAAGCGUCUCCGGCAGGACGUGGGCCGCGGGUCUCGGAGCCUCCUUCACUUAGGUACAAACAAUCGUCGCCGCAGGGGCCGGACCCCAGUCCGAGCUCCGAGGUGCGGUGAGCAGCCACCCCACUAAAGGGGGCGUGUGAGGAUGGCGGAAAGCGGCAGGGAGGUGGGCGGGGCUGCAACACCUGGGCCAGGUGCGUCACGGGAAAUCCGGCCCACUUCGUUCAGGGACUUCUGGAGUUCUAGUCCUCCAACCUCUCAAAACCCUAGAACCUCCACCGGGUCCCAGCCUCGCCCCUCACCCGCUGCGGGGAUCCUCCCUUCGCGCCCGAUCCAGCUGCGCUCUUCGCUUCCGCCACCGGAGGGAGCCAUUGGCCGCCGAUCUGGGCCCAGGGUCGCUUUGCACCGUCUGAUGCCCGCUUUCUUGCCUCCCUGCAGUGUUCUCACUUCCAGCAGAAAUCCUAGAGCCUAUGAACUCUACUGAGAGCUGAGACUCCUUCUUCACUCUUUACAGAUCCCAUGAACAGCAGUACCACCUGCCAACGCGUCCUCAUAUGUAAAAUGGGCAUAAACUCGAACCUCCCUCCUAAGGCUGAAUCCUCCGGAAUCCGCCCCACUGCACGCCAGCAGUCGGAGGCCUGGGGCGUGCUGCCCACGUGACUGACGGCCGGGAAGGAAAGAUGGCGGCGACUAUGAUGGCUUCAGAGAGAGGGCAACCAACGAGAGGACGCCGCCCGCCAGAGCGUCCACACCGCCGCUUUUUCUGCGGUUGCGUCCUGGGAAGGCGCGAAUUGUGUGGCUACGGGCGGGUCGUCCUCUCCACCAUUUUUUAAUGGAAAAAAUAAUAAUUCUCAAAGACGGUUUGGUCUGACCUGCCUCCCCACCUCUUGGCAUCCGCAGGAUCGCAGGCGUGUAAAAGACGGGAUUGUGGGACUGGGCCCAGUGACUCAUGCCUGUAAUCCCAGCGCUUUGCGGGGCCAAGGCCAGAGUAUCUCUUGAGCCCAGGUGUUCGAGACCAGCCUGGGCAACAUAGCGAGCCCCCAUCUCUAUUUUUAAAAAUGGUGUAUAGAUAUAGAGGAGAUCGUGGGAUUCAGUAUCUGAGAUUUUCUACCUUGGUGUCAACGCCCCUGUCAACCUAUUAGGUGACCUCAGAGUGUUCCCCCAGCCCUCAAUUCUAGGGAUCCCAGAUCCUGGAACACACACAUGCCCCGUCUGCCCCUUCGGGACAAGGAGAUCUAAUGGCACUCUCAGAAUUAGGCCUUAAAUGCUAAUUUCCUGGAGAUCCG
RNAcentral lists this long non-coding RNA (1359 nucleotides) under Homo sapiens (human). Its description in RNAcentral is "HSALNT0126460". Lineage: Eukaryota; Metazoa; Chordata; Mammalia; Primates; Hominidae. The record is from RNAcentral.